CUGCUGGCCAAGAGCUGGAGCUCGCUGCUGGAGGGCCAGGCGGGCGCCCGCCGCGCGCCCAUCUACACCUUCGACGGCCGCGACGUGCUCAGCCACCCGCUCUGGCCCCGCCGGCUGGCCUGGCACGGCUCCACCCCGCGCGGCGGCCCGGCCCGCGGCCACCACUGUCACGGCUGGCGGCGUGCCGGCCCGGCCGAGGGGCUGGCGGCCCCGCUGGGCCGUGGCGGGCUCCUCCUCGACGGGCGGCUGCACAACUGCUCCGAGUUCCUGGCCGUGCUGUGCGUGGAGGUGGCCUUCCCCUACCGGCACAUGUGGUGAGGGCCCCGCCGGACGCCUGGGCCCACUGCCCCGCUCCCGGCGUCCCCACGUCCGGCUGUCCCCCGAUCCGGCCCUCGCGGCGCCACCGGCACUGUGGGGGCCCUGGAAAUAAACUGGAGAGAAAGUC
Long non-coding RNA from Dromaius novaehollandiae (emu), 445 nucleotides. RefSeq lists it as uncharacterized. The transcript has 2 exons. The record is from RefSeq and is a predicted model, not a curated record. NCBI's taxonomy places the organism in Eukaryota, Metazoa, Chordata, Aves, Casuariiformes, Dromaiidae.